This 433-nucleotide ribosomal RNA is filed under the name uncultured bacterium. Its description in RNAcentral is "partial 16S ribosomal RNA". It matches the Rfam family "Bacterial small subunit ribosomal RNA", at positions 29 to 507 of the family's 1533-position model. The record is from RNAcentral.
AACGAACGCUGGCGGCAUGCCUAACACAUGCAAGUCGAACGAGACCUUCGGGUCUAGUGGCGCACGGGUGCGUAACGCGUGGGAACCUGCCCUUAGGUUCGGAAUAACUCCCCGAAAGGGGUGCUAAUACCGGAUAAUGUCUUCGGACCAAAGAUUUAUCGCCGUUGGAUGGGCCCGCGUUGGAUUAGCUAGUUGGUAGGGUAAAAGCCUACCAAGGCGACGAUCCAUAGCUGGUCUGAGAGGAUGAUCAGCCACACUGGGACUGAGACACGGCCCAGACUCCUACGGGAGGCAGCAGUGGGGAAUAUUGGACACUGGGCGAAAGCCUGAUCCAGCAAUGCCGCGUGAGUGAUGAAGGCCUUAGGGUUGUAAAGCUCUUUUACACGGGAUGAUAAUGACAGUACCGGGAGAAUAAGCUCCGGCUAACUCCGUG